RNAcentral lists this ribosomal RNA (460 nucleotides) under uncultured bacterium. RNAcentral describes it as "partial 16S ribosomal RNA". It matches the Rfam family "Bacterial small subunit ribosomal RNA", at positions 338 to 795 of the family's 1533-position model. The record is from RNAcentral.
CCUACGGGCGGCAGCAGUGAGGAAUAUUGGUCAAUGGCCGGAAGGCUGAACCAGCCAUGCCGCGUGAAGGUCAGUGCCCUAUGGGCGUUAAACUUCUUUUGUGCGGGAGCAAUAAUGGUCACGUGUGGCCAGACGAGAGUACCGUACGAAUAAGCAUCGGCUAACUCCGUGCCAGCAGCCGCGGUAAUACGGGGGAUGCAAGCGUUAUCCGGAUUUAUUGGGUUUAAAGGGUGCGUAGGCUGUUAGGUAAGUCAGCGGUGAAAUGCCCCCGCUCAACGGGGUGAAGUGCCAUUGAUACUGCCUUGCUGGAAUGCGGAUGCCGUGGGAGGAAUGUGUGGUGUAGCGGUGGAAUGCAUAGAUAUCACACAGAACACCGAUUGCGAAGGCAUCUCACGAAUCCGCGAUUGACGCUGAUGCACGAAAGCGUGGGUAUCAAACAGGAUUAGAUACCCCAGUAGUC